CAUGGCGAGUUUGAUCCUGGCUCAGAGCGAACGCUGGCGGCGUACUUAACACAUGCAAGUCGAACGGGGAUCAUCGGGUUAGCAAUAAUUCGGUGAUCCUAGUGGCGCACGGGUGAGUAACACGUGGGUAACCUGCCCUGGAGCCCGGGAUACCCCCUCGAAAGGGGGGCUAAUACCGGAUACGUUCCUCGGGUCGGAAGAUCUGAGGAGGAAAGGUGGCGCAAGCUGCCGCUCUUGGAGGGGCUCGCGGCCUAUCAGCUAGUUGGCGGGGUAAUGGCCCACCAAGGCUAUGACGGGUAGCUGGUCUGAGAGGACGACCAGCCACACGGGGACUGAGACACGGCCCCGACUCCUACGGGAGGCAGCAGUGGGGAAUUUUCCGCAAUGGGCGAAAGCCUGACGGAGUGACGCCGCGUGUGGGACGAAGGCCUUCGGGUCGUAAACCACUGUCAGUGGGAAAGAUGGGUGUCGGCGCGAUAACCGCCGGCAUCUGACGGUACCUGCAGAGGAAGCCCCGGCUAACUCUGUGCCAGCAGCCGCGGUAAGACAGAGGGGGCAAGCGUUGCUCGGAAUUACUGGGCGUAAAGGGCGCGUAGGCGGGAUGGCAAGUCGGUCGUGAAAUCCCUCGGCUCAACUGAGGGGCGUCGAUCGAUACUGCCGUUCUUGAGGGUUGCAGAGGAGACUGGAAUUCCCGGUGUAGCGGUGAAAUGUGUAGAGAUCGGGAGGAACACCGGUGGCGAAGGCGGGUCUCUGGGCAACUCCUGACGCUGAGGCGCGAAAGCGUGGGGAGCAAACGGGAUUAGAUACCCCGGUAGUCCACGCUGUAAACGAUGACGACUAGGUGUGGGGGGGUUCAGUCCCCUCCGUGCCGCAGCUAACGCAUUAAGUCGUCCGCCUGGGGAGUACGGCCGCAAGGUUGAAACUCAAAGGAAUUGACGGGGGCCCGCACAAGCGGUGGAGCAUGUGGUUCAAUUCGAUGCAGAGCGAAGAACCUUACCUGGGCUUGACAUGCAGGAAGUAGAAACCGGAAACG
RNAcentral lists this ribosomal RNA (1033 nucleotides) under Candidatus Rokuibacteriota bacterium. RNAcentral describes it as "bacterial SSU rRNA". It matches the Rfam family "Bacterial small subunit ribosomal RNA", at positions 1 to 1008 of the family's 1533-position model. The record is from RNAcentral. Lineage: Bacteria; Candidatus Rokuibacteriota.